GACGAACGCUGGCGGCGUGCUUAACACAUGCAAGUCGAACGGUGAAGCGCCUUCCUUUUUGGUGGGUGUGGAUGAGUGGCGAACGGGUGAGUAACACGUGAGUAACCUGCCCCCUCCUUCUGGAUAACCGCAUGAAAGUGUGGCUAAUACGGGAUAUUCUGGGUCUGUCGCAUGAUGGGUCUGGGAAAGAUAUUGUUUCGGUGGGGGAUGGGCUCGCGGCCUAUCAGCUUGUUGGUGGGGUGAUGGCCUACCAAGGCGGUGACGGGUAGCCGGCCUGAGAGGGUGGACGGUCAUACUGGGACCGAGACGCGGCCCAGACUCCUACGGGAAGCAGCAGUGGGGAAUAUUGCACGAUGGGCGCAAGCCUGAUGCAGCGACGCCGCGGGAGGGAUGGAGGCCUUCGGGUUGUGAACCUCUUUCGCCAGUGAAGCAGGCCUGCCUCGUUUGUGGGUGGGUUGACGGUAGCUGGAUAAGAAGCGCCGGCUAACUACGUG
This 494-nucleotide ribosomal RNA is filed under the name uncultured bacterium. RNAcentral's name for it is "partial 16S ribosomal RNA". It matches the Rfam family "Bacterial small subunit ribosomal RNA", at positions 28 to 507 of the family's 1533-position model. The record is from RNAcentral.